This 497-nucleotide ribosomal RNA is filed under the name uncultured bacterium. Its description in RNAcentral is "partial 16S ribosomal RNA". It matches the Rfam family "Bacterial small subunit ribosomal RNA", at positions 28 to 507 of the family's 1533-position model. The record is from RNAcentral.
GAUGAACGCUGGCGGCGUGCCUAAUACAUGCAAGUCGAGCGAACAGAUGAGGAGCUUGCUCCUCUGACGUUAGCGGCGGACGGGUGAGUAACACGUGGAUAACCUACCUAUAAGACUGGGAUAACUUCGGGAAACCUGAGCUAAUACCGGAUAAUAUAUUGAACCGCAUGGUUCAAUAGUGAAAGACGGUUUUGCUGUCACUUAUAGAUGGAUCCGCGCCGCAUUAGCUAGUUGGUAAGGUAACGGCUUACCAAGGCAACGAUGGGUAGCCGACCUGAGAGGGUGAUCGGGCAGACUGGAACUGAGGCACGGCCCAGACUCUGGCGGGAGGAAGCAGUCGGGAAUCCUCCGGGAUGGGCGAAUGCGUGACGGAGCAACGCCGGGGGAAGGCUGAAGGUCUUCGGAUCGUAAAACUAUGUUGUUCGGGAAGAAGAAAAGUGCUAGUAACUGUGAACGUAUUGACGGUACCUGAUGAGAAAGCCACGGCUAACUACGUG